Molecule: ribosomal RNA, 462 nt
Filed under: uncultured bacterium
Lineage: Bacteria
Description: bacterial SSU rRNA
Rfam family: Bacterial small subunit ribosomal RNA
Source: RNAcentral
AACGAACGCUGGCGGCAUGCCUAACACAUGCAAGUCGAACGAGACCUUCGGGUCUAGUGGCGUACGGGUGCGUAACGCGUGGGAAUCUGCCCCUUGGUUCGGAAUAACAGCGAGAAAUUGCUGCUAAUACCGGAUAAUGACGUAAGUCCAAAGAUUUAUCGCCAAGGGAUGAGCCCGCGUAGGAUUAGCUAGUUGGUGUGGUAAAGGCGCACCAAGGCGACGAUCCUUAGCUGGUCUGAGAGGAUGAUCAGCCACACUGGGACUGAGACACGGCCCAGACUCCUACGGGAGGCAGCAGUGGGGAAUAUUGGACAAUGGGCGAAAGACCUGAUCCAGCAAUGCCGCGUGAGUGAUGAAGGCCUUAGGGUUGUAAAGCUCUUUACCCGGGUANGAUAAUGACAGUAACCGGGAGAAUAAGACUCCGGCUAACUCCGUGCCAGCAGCCGCCGGUAAAGUGGACUA